GUGGGACACAGCGUAGCGUGUGGUUGGAGGCGCCAAGGUGAUAGAACAGAUACAAGCAAAUAAAAUCGGGGAUUUAAUGAUUUAUUCAGCCUCUGACCCCGAGCACAGAGCACCUAACGGCUGACGUCACACAGUAGUUUGCAGUUUUCUUGCGUCUUUUGUUACAUCAAGCUAGUUUCCGUUUGCAACAUUCACGUCUGGUCACACAUAAACUCUCUCUAUUAUAACUCUGUGGCAUGAGGGUCUGUUUCUGUUUUUGGUCUGAAAUUAAGAAUGUCACAGUGGAAAACUAUAAAAAUACAAUCUACAGUUACAAUAAAAUAAUAUGUUUAAAAUAUUCAUAAGUGUGGCCCCUUGGCACAAAUUACCCCAACAACACCAUUUUGAAAAAAGGCAUCAUCCAACAGUUUUGAGUAUCGACUCACAGUCUAGCUUACCAAAUCUCUAACACAUCUGUGAAAUGUUUUCAGACUUUUCUAUAACUGUUCAUACGCAACAAUCAAAAACCAAAUCACCCCACUUUCCCCUGUGCCAAAUAAUAGCAGCUGAUCUUCACAGCUACCUGAUCCGUUUACAUAUUCCACUCUCCGUGAUCAGCAGGUGUUAAACAGCUGACAGGUGAACAGGAUGUUUGCAG
This is a long non-coding RNA of Astatotilapia calliptera (eastern happy), 637 nucleotides long. The record is from Ensembl. Lineage: Eukaryota; Metazoa; Chordata; Actinopteri; Cichliformes; Cichlidae.